RNAcentral lists this ribosomal RNA (254 nucleotides) under uncultured bacterium. RNAcentral's name for it is "partial 16S ribosomal RNA". It matches the Rfam family "Bacterial small subunit ribosomal RNA", at positions 524 to 776 of the family's 1533-position model. The record is from RNAcentral.
UACGGAGGGUGCAAGCAUUAAUCGGAUUUAUUGGGCGUAAAGGGCGCGUAGGCGGAUAUGUAAGUCAGAUGUGAAAUUUCCGGGCUCAACCUGGGAGCUGCAUUUGAAACUACAUUGUCUAGAGGAUAGGCGGAGAAAAUAGAAUUCCACAAGUAGCGGUGAAAUGCGUAGAUAUGUGGAAGAAUACCGGUGGCGAAGGCGGUUUUCUAGCUUACUCCUGACGCUAAAGCGCGAAAGCAAGGGGAUCAAACAGG